UACAGAGGGUGCAAACGUUGUUCGGAAUUACUGGGCGUAAAGCGCGUGUAGGCGGCUUUGCAAGUCGGGCGUGAAAUCCCAUGGCUCAACCAUGGAAGUGCACUCGAAACUGCAGAGCUAGAGUCCUGGAGAGGAAGGUGGAAUGCUUGGUGUAGAGGUGAAAUUCGUAGAUAUCAAGCGGAACACCGGUGGCGAAGGCGGCCUUCUGGACAGUGACUGACGCUGAGACGCGAAAGCGUGGGGAGCAAACAGG
Molecule: ribosomal RNA, 253 nt
Filed under: uncultured bacterium
Lineage: Bacteria
Description: partial 16S ribosomal RNA
Rfam family: Bacterial small subunit ribosomal RNA
Source: RNAcentral